CAGAGAGAGAGAGGGACAGCGUGAAGAUUGUCAUGGCAUGUUUAAUUCAGCAGCCUCCCGACAGUCGCUGUCACAGUGGCGAUUUAUGUGUUGCCGUGGCGUUGUGUUGCCUCCCACCUCAGCAUCAGUAUUCGGCGGCGGAGGGAGAAGGCAACCUUGAGUGGAAUGUAGGGGCAGGGAGGAGUAGAGCGAGUGGAGGGAGCCAGUUUUUAAUUACCCUGCUAUAGGGGGUGUGUUAGUAUGCACACCACAUAACACACAUCCUCUCACUAGUCAAACAUCCAGACAGCUUUUUUCUUUUUUACUAUUUUCACUUUUUUAUUUUUUACUAUUUUCACUGUUGUUUUUUCCCCGCUUUGGAUUGACCGGGGCUGUUGAGGCAGACUGCUGAUUCGUUUUUCUUUGUUUGAAUUACAUGUUUGAGGUGACUACCUCCAUGAAGAUGGUUGAGAGAAUGCCAAGGGUGUGCAACGCUGUCAUCAAGACUCCCUGAGCCGAGACGAGACCCCAGGGACUAUGGAGAGGGCAGGUCUGGAUCCUCAAUGGGACACGCCCCCUGACAAAUCUCCUCUCUCUCCUCCUACCUCUGUCCAGGAGACCAACACUAGAGAGAGUCUCCUUUUCUCUUCAUGUCUGCUCACAUUGGAGUGACCUUGAAGAAGGCUGCUGGUGGUGUAACAAAAUGGAUCUUAUUGCUUUCAGAACUUUUAAAACUACAAUAACUAUUUUAAUUGAGGAGCAUGACAUCCAUGCAAUCAAUUUCCGUCAGGCUCAAUUUUCACACCCAAUCAGAUCCUUGGCUGGUGAGCUUGGCUUAGAGAGGACUAUGGGUAGGAAAGCGUAGCGGCUGAGUGCCUGCUAAAACCCAGCUGAGGUCAGGAAUAGAACAUGAAAUCCUUAAUGUGACACGCUGUGCUUUACUUUAAUUUCUUCUGUAUAUUUUGUUUUGACAAGCAGCCUUGAAAAUAGAAAAGUUGACUGGUGACAAGACUUAGAUCAGAGGAGGA
This 1007-nucleotide long non-coding RNA is filed under the name Salmo salar (Atlantic salmon). RNAcentral's name for it is "lncRNA (ENSSSAG00000112999.1)". The record is from RNAcentral. Lineage: Eukaryota; Metazoa; Chordata; Actinopteri; Salmoniformes; Salmonidae.